RNAcentral lists this ribosomal RNA (497 nucleotides) under uncultured bacterium. RNAcentral's name for it is "partial 16S ribosomal RNA". It matches the Rfam family "Bacterial small subunit ribosomal RNA", at positions 28 to 507 of the family's 1533-position model. The record is from RNAcentral.
GAUGAACGCUGGCGGCGUGCCUAAUACAUGCAAGUCGAGCGAACAGACGAGGAGCUUGCUCCUCUGACGUUAGCGGCGGACGGGUGAGUAACACGUGGAUAACCUACCUAUAAGACUGGGAUAACUUCGGGAAACCGGAGCUAAUACCGGAUAAUAUAUUGAACCGCAUGGUUCAAUAGUGAAAGACGGUUUUGCUGUCACCUAUAGAUGGAUCCGCGCCGCAUUAGCUAGUUGGUAAGGUAACGGCUUACCAAGGCAACGAUGCGUAGCCGACCUGAGAGGGUGAUCGGCCACACUGGAACUGAGACACGGUCCAGACUCCUACGGGAGGCAGCAGUAGGGAAUCUUCCGCAAUGGGCGAAAGCCUGACGGAGCAACGCCGCGUGAGUGAUGAAGGUCUUCGGAUCGUAAAACUCUGUUAUUAGGGAAGAACAAAUGUGUAAGUAACUAUGCACGUCUUGACGGUACCUAAUCAGAAGGCCACGGCUAACUACGUG